GCCGGUGCCCAGCAUCCCGCUGCUUCUCUUUAGGAAGUAUGGUCUUGCUGAACUGCAUCACAGCUCUUCUCCUGUCCUCUGAAGCAGUGCAGCAGGGUUUGCUGCUGGCUCAUGUGUACCACGUCUGACGUGGUGGGAACAGUCACCUUCCUCUGCAGCUUGAAUCCUGUCCCAUAAACUAUAAAAAGGUACAGGAUGAAACUGCUACGUGUCAUUUGCUUCAACAAAAUAAUUCAAACUAUGUCACAAGUAUGCAAAAAAAAAAAAAAAAGACAUUUAAGGAAACAAAGUCUUUUUUGGUCUGUUUUUAAAAUAACCUGUGGUAUCCCUAAACUAUGAUCUAAGCAGGAGGAGUAGGAUAUUUGGUCUUUUGUACCUGUGCUAUUUUUCUGCAUUUUCUGCUUUCUAAAGGCCAGAAGCCUUUCAGCACUCCUUCAGUCGAGUAAAGUACUGCUUUUGUAGCACCCACCCUGCCAUGGAUAGAGUGGGAGUCUAUUACUUAAAGAAUAUGAAGUAACGCAGUCAGCUUAAUCUUACUCCUAAUAUGUUUUACUUCAUAUUGUAAUUAGUCUAAAGCAUACACUUCAGAUUUUUUUUUUUUUUUUGUCAUUGCAAUAUUUUGUUUUGGGCGUUUUAAUGCUCACCUUCAGUUACCUUACUUGCCUAUUCCAAUUUUAUAGUCUUCCCAGUCACCCUCCAGUCCACUGUUGUUCAUUCCCAGUAAUGAACUGGAGGUCGCCUUGAUUUCAGAAAUCAGUUUUGGCCAAAAGUCCUGAAGGCUGAUUUUAGAAGACUUUGACUGAAAAUAUUAUUAAUCAUUUCGAUUCAUUGUGUACAUUUAAUGUCAGUGUUUAGUUACAGAAGUAUAUUAGCUGAAUGAUUUUAUACUUCUAAAACUUACAGGAGUUUCAAUAUCAAAACUCUAUUUUUCUGUCAGCGAAUGUUAAUAGGUCACCAGCCUAAUUAGGGCUGAGCUUGCACUAAUUUCAGAUGUUACAGUGAGGGUGAAGAUCUCACUUUACCUGCACCUGAAAACUGUGACGUGGGCAUGAGUUCAACUGGAAGAAAGCUGCUCCCGGCCACAGCCCAGCUUUUCCUGCUCCAUAGCUAGUAACAAGCUUUUAUAUUAGAAUUUGGACUAGGUUUGCUUGGACCAGGUGAGUUUAGUGGUCUUUUCCAACCUUUAUGAUCCUAUGAAUUUGAUGAGGGGCUGUACUCGGUUUAUCACCACGCUUCUACAAAGACUGUAACCUGUAGCCUAGCUUUGAUAUCCCCUACAUACUCAAAUUGUUUGGGUCUUCUUCUGUGGUUGGUUCUUGCUUUUAUGCAGUGAAGUGCAUUCCUUCUGCCACCUCUUGUGCACACCCAAUCCCUUUGAUUUACCUUCCAUAACCAUCUCUUUUUGGCCUGAAGCUUAGACCCUUGUCCUUUUGCAAGCAGCUGGCUGUGCUGAAUGCAUCCUGCAGCAUCUGCUGAACAUUCCGUCCCAGCUGAAGCCGGCGAGAUGCUCGCGUGCUUAAAAGCAAGCACAGUCAGAUGUUUUUGUGGCACUGAACCCACAGUUCAUUUCCUCUACUGUUGCUAUGGUGUUUUUAAAGACGAAAGAGAAACAAAGGAAAACACAAUUGUGCAGUCUACAUUAGCUAAGGCAAGGAAAAUAAAUGGAGCUACUUUUCACCCUAUUUUUAUUUUUUUUUAAUUAAAUCUUCAGUAUGGCUUGACUUCAAAAGGCUUUGCAGUGUUGCCUGGAAAAUGCUUAGUGAACCGAUGCUGGUGUAUCGUGUUCUCCGUGUUGUACGAAUGUAUUCUUUUGAGAAAUGUAAUCCCUGUGCCCUGACUUUACAAGUUUUUAAGAAGCAAUGCUCUCCAACCUCAUUCCCAAUUCCUUCAUCUUUAUCUCUUUAAAAAUGUUUGUAUGUGGUUAAUAUAACUUCUUAUUUGUGUUUAAAGCACUGUUGAAGAGAGCAAACUCAAUGCAUGUCCGUGCACCAACAACCUCACAAGUUCUUCUGCUCUGCUGAGGUUAACUGAAACAGCUAGAAACAGAGUUUCUCACCAGCGAUACCACAAGAAUUGCUUUGCUGUGUCUACUUGAGCAUUGCAGAACAAAAAGCAGUGAAGAUCAAAACAAGUUAAUGAAAAAGAAAACAAUUGCAUGUAAUAAAUGGGAAGAGGCCAGAACUGUCAGUUCAUUUCAACUGAAUAUAAUGAGGAGUGAUGAAAAAAACGGCAGAGGAACCAGAGAAGUCAGUAGAAAAUUAGAAGCCGGUGGUCUCCUACUGAUCCAUAUUUUAAUUCUCUGGUAAGAGACUUGCAUUUGCAGUGUGCUUCAGAAAUCAGGACGUUGCAAUAUGGUAAACCUACACAAGUGCCCUGCAAUGAUGCUUCUUAUUGAAGAAAAGCCUUCAUGUAGGGAUGUCAAAGCCUUCCCAAGGGCAGGAUGCUGUUAAUGCUGCUCUUAGGCUGUAGAACAGCAGUUUGUCUUCUGGAAGAGUCAGAGAGCAAGAGGUGGUUACACGAGGAGAUGUGGUGGGACAGCCGUGCUGUUCUUGUGUCUGGGACCCACGUCAGUUUCCAGUGAAUCUGCGGAGUCCAAAAUUGCUGCAGCACAGCCUUGUACACAUUUGUGUGCUCUUAACCUUGGAGCAGCUGGAGGUAAGGGAAAUCUCCAGGGCCUGGGGAAAACAUGGGGAAACAGGCAAGCAAAAGCCUGGUGGUGGCUUAAGUACUGCACAGAGCCCUCAUCUCACUGACGGGCCAGUUUCUUACAGCACUUGAGUUCCAGUCCGAUUCGGAGAUAGGUAGGAUUUACCUUUUUAAUACUAUUCAUUUUCAAAGAACUUGUUCAUACAAGAGCUAUCCGCUGCUUCAAACACCGAGAAUGUGAUUGUGUUUUCAGACGCCCUGCAAGAGAAGUGUCCUUCAAGAAAACUGUGUUCUGAAAGGCUUUUGAGUUACUGUGUGUGCCACAGAGAUGGAUUCACUCGCUGACGCCGGCCUCAGUGCGCACAGUGCCCUGGGCUCAUGCUGUCCCAGGAGCGUACAGUGAUGAAGGGAGCACGCAGCUCCCAGCUGAAUCUAGGCAGGGCUGCAAAGGCUGUUUUGGCAGUCAGGGUGAGGCUGUAAGCCUAACACUGGGGGGAUGGCAGCAGAGAUGUGCACUGACUGAGAGGUGGGAAUAGAGACAAGUAGUGGCAACAGCAAAUGCACGGGAUGGUGAUGAGACAGAAGCACAGUGGCUGAGGCUGGAGGCACCUCUGGAGGUGGUCUAAGUCCCUCUCAAGCUCACAGCAGCAGCAGCUGGAGCAGGCUGCUCAAAGCUGUGUGGAGUUGUGCUUUUAAUAUCUCCAAGGAAGAAAUGUCCACAGCUUCCUGGGCAGUGUGUGACAGUGUUUUAUCCCCUUCACCAUACAUAAGCUUUUCCUUUUGUUUCUAUGGAAGCAGUUCCCUGUAGUUUGAUUUGUGCCCAUGACUCUUAUCUUUUCACUGGACACCACUGAGAAGAGUCUGGCUCUUCUACUCCUUCUCCUACCAGGUAGGUAAAGACUGAGCAGUUUCCUCCAGAACCCUUUUUUCUCCAGGCUGAACAGUCCCAGAUCCCUCAGCCUUUCCUCAGCAGAGAGAUGUUCCAGUCACUUCUUCAUCUUCAUGGCCUUUUGCUGGACUCAACCCAGUACAUCCAUGACUCUCUGGCCCUGAGAAGCCCAGGACUGGACCCAGCAUUCCAGACUCCAUCAUCACCCUGUUCAUCCAAGCCUGGACAUGCUAUAACAACAAAUCAAAGGACAAGACCUGCAAACUGAAAUGAAUGAUCCCAUUCCUCACUUUUCCCUUGUUAUUGUUGUACUGCUGGUUUGUUUUACAGCUGUGCCUCGGGGCAUCUGUCAGGGCACGGAUCUGGCCCCAUGUGCAUGCAACAGGCAAAUUCCAGGAGCCUCAGUGGAACAAAAAGCCAGUGUCACAGCUGCCACCAGACCUGAGUUUUUACAGCACUUCUAUUACCACACCUGAUCCUGUGCACAGCCAUCAGCAAAGUCAAUGGCAACUCCUUGCACAAAGGCCCAGGCUGUGCAGUCUGACUCAAGCACCAAUGGGGCAAUCCUCUGUUCAGGGACUGGGAAGGGAGGGGGUGAGCACUACUUGAGCUGAAUACCCUGCGUCAGCUCUGAGGCCCUGCCAGCUAAAAUCUUUCAUUAAUUCAAACUUUAAAUAGCUGCAGCAGCAUUUAGUGCACAAAGCACCAUGCUUGCGCCCAGCCGUGGGCUGCUGCAGGUGUAUCUGUCUCCCAGCUGUGCUGCCAUGCUCACAGCUUUCCUAUGACCCAGGCCUUGUGUCAGCAGAGACCCUGCAGCCCGCUCUGUACAGUCUCCUGGGGUUAGAGGCAGGGAGCACUCAUGCCCUUUGUUCCCCGGGUAAAUUCUAUUUCCCUUUCCAUUGUGCCGUGCUGGUUGUCAACGAAACGUUACACCGGGGAUAAGGGAAUUCGACAAAGAAACUUUGGUGAAGGCUGGCAAAUUACAGUCCUUUACUUGUGAAUGGGGGUGUCAUAAGAGAUGGGUUGAAGCAAUGCACCUGGUGUAAAUAAUUACAUGCUUGCAAUGGGGGGAAAGGGCUGAAGGCAAGCUAAAUGCCAGGGGAUUGUUUGGGAUGGCAAAGGAAGAACUUUUCAUGCGGGAAGAACAAAUGCACUGCUCAGGAGUCUGCUGGUGACAGAGUGAUUACUCUUUUCUUCCUCAUUCUUUCCCUUACUUUUAGGGUUUUGUUCAUCCUCCAACACUUCCCCUUGUUGUUCUUGUUCCCAGAGCAACACCUGGAGGCAGGGGCUGUCUUAGGAGAGGAACCCCACUGCGGCACAUUCCAGCCAAGAUUGUAUUUCAAAUCACCUGGGUCUUCGUUCCUUCCAACACCCCUUUGAUCUACAAACUGCUCCUUAAAUGACUGAAACAGGAACUUGAGCCCCGGUGAAUUGGCUUUACCAGCCCUCUGAGACGAAUUUCUUAGACCUGCAGCAACUGUGAUGUGGUCAGUGAAUGUUUUAAGUGGUGGUGGUGGUCCUUGCAUGGAGAUGUGGAAAGAAGCUGAGCUUGCCACAACGGAAGCUCUCUUUGUGGUUAUUUCCAAUGCCUUCUGUAACGCUGAUUUGGGUAAAAUAUGAAAUACAGAAAGAUCUUAUCUUGGGAGUGUUGGUACUUGAACAACUCCAGCCCACCUUGCAAUCCUGCAUGUCCAAAAGAGAUCACGAAGAGCAGCUAUGAUGCUUCCAUGACUCUUCCAGGCACCGUAGUACAGGGAGAGCACCCAGAGGCCAACGCACAAGGCUGAGGUUCGCUGUGCAGUGGUGGAGCGGUGAAGGUGAUGGUUAACAAGCCUCUGUGCUUGGGCGUGGGGAAACCCGCUGUGCAUUACUGCUCUUCCAGAUGAAUUUUUUGACCCUGAAAUGAACAACAUGACAGAACAGGCAUUGUAGAGAUAAGACUAACGAAGGGAGGUAACUCAGCCCAUUAGCAAGGAUUAUUUAUGACCCCUUAGACAAGAGAAAUGUAAAUUCUGAAACAAAACCCUUAAUUUCCAUCUUGCCUUCUUUUCUUUGUGUGCUUUGUUUUUCAGAUUUUAAUAUAAAACAUUGGAACAGCAACUGUCAUUGGACAGCUUCCCACUGCGUGAUUUUCACUCAUCCAUUUAUCUACCAUAGCUCCUCCCUCUCCCUCCCCCUGCCCUCUCCCCCAGAAAUCACUGUAACUCAAGGGAGAAGAGUCAGGAUUCUGGCAAAACCUGUUCCUAACUCAGCAAGUGAAAUCUUGCCCCACUGACACCACUGGCGCGUUGAUGUUGCCUUCAUUUGGGCCAGCACCUACAGCAGCUGGUGAAACCUGGGCAGCUCCCCGCUCACCAUAUUACUUAGCUCUUGUCAUGCUCUGUUUCUUAGUGUCUCCGUUACGAGUGACUAAUGCGGCAACACAGCGCUGAGCGUGGCUCUCCCUGGGGCUGGGGAUCUCGUGUCAGAGGGUACGAUCCAGCUCACAUUGAGAUGGAUACAUUAAAUCUUUUUACUCGAUGCCUUGUCAAGAAAAGCCAAUCUGCCCGCUAUCAAAUGCACUGAGAGCGCCCCAGCCCAUGGAAGUAGUUUUGUGUGCUCAUUGAUACAGAAUAGAUUGUCACUAAACCUUUCAGGCAUUGUUGUCAAGGUCGAUAAUGCUGAUCUAUUUUAGCACAACAGGGGGGUAAGAAAAGGAUUCUAUCAAGACAUGACCUUUAAAAGACCCUGUCUUUCGAGAUGCAAAACAAAAAAAAUGUGGAAAGGAUAUGAUGUUGUUACCUUCAGUCUGAUCUGAGCCGGCAGUAAUUACACACGUUAGCAAGAAAACAGCUCAGGAAAUGAUCUGGUUAGUAGCGAGAUGUUACGAACAACAAACAGCAUGCUAAUUUGAUGAGUUCACAUAAAGGCAUUUAAAGUACAUUUUUCCCGCUGUGAUUUUUAGCAUUCUGCUAGCUUCCUUUUCAUGGAACAUGUCCAACUGCACUCUUCUUGUGGCUGCCCUUGACCUUGCCUCCUGCUUAUGUUACCCGGUGCUGCUCUUCUGCUGGUUUCAAGCUGACCAUUAACAGGCUGCCCAGAGAGCUGUGAACGCCCCAUCCCUGGAGGUGCCCAAGGUCAUGGAUGAAGCCCUGGGUAGCCCGAGCUGGUGGGGGGCACCCAGCCCAUGGCAGGAGGUUGGAACUCAGUGAUCCCUUCCAACCCAACCAUUCUGUGAUUUGCUCUUUGCAGCCAUGCCUCUGCGCAGUCCUUAGGUCUGGAGUGGGAGCUCUGCACCACAGUGCCAUGAAGCAUUCAGGAGGCUCGUGCACGAGAUGCCCAUGCACUGGAUAAAGUCUUCAGCCACGGAGAAGCCCUACGAGCAGGAGCAGCUCAUGACAUCGCAGUGCAGUGUCACAGCUCUCUUCGACUUCCAGGCUGCCCCCAGGCCCCACAUCAGAUGCUGCUGGCUGCCCUGUUUUGUGAUGCAUGUUGCAGAGGGCUCCUUGCACAGCAGGAGAGCCAUGAGCUGCCUGAGGACUGCCACACCGCAGGCUGUGCUAUGGUCCUGCAGUCCUGCCCUACCUUGUGGCUGCAUGGGGCUUGCUGAAGUGCUGGGAGCUUCGUACCAUAUGAUGUGGUAUCCUACAACGAGUCGUCUCUGCUCCAUUUGCCAUGGCCAGUACGUUUCAGCACCAGCACCACUUCUGUCAUCUUUGUAAGCCAGGAGCUCCUGAUUUGGCGGCACCAGAGAUGUCCCUCAGCCAUGACAUUUGGGUGAGACAACUGACUUUUCACCAAACAAAAAGCAGUGUGAUGUGAUCUGGUUCCGCACCAAAAAAACCCUCACCAGUCAAUAGGAAACACUCACCCAGACCCACUGCUUCCAACAUGGACCUGAGCUACUUCAGAGGGCGUGAUGAAUAAGAACGAGGCAGGGGGUUGGAACUAGAUGAUCUUAAAGGCCCUUCCAACCCAAACCAUGCUAUGAUUCUAUGACUGUAUGAAGGAAAGACCCUUUCCAACACGCAGCCAAGGGGAAUCUGAAUCUCUGAUGGAGGAUUUUAGGAAAUCUUGGGUCUAUGGAGAUGUUCAAUGUGUUUGCAGAAACACUCCACCAGCAGCAGCACUCUUGAGCUCCUGAAGUUCUAAAUGAAGAGUUCCAGGAAAAAAAAACAAAGUCAAAUAGAGAUGCUACAGUUAAAAGUACACAGGACACACAGCUCAGAGCCCCAGAGCUCCACAGGGUCCCUGGGUAGAACUAGGAGAAUGACUUGGCUGCAAAAUCUCUCCCUUGAGACAAAUAUCAAAUAAAUGAACAAACAAGUGAUCACUCAUUCAGCUAUUUCAGAAAGUUAUGAAUCACAUAGGUUUAAUUAAGCUGUUCAUAAAAGGCCAUUUCAGCGCUAACAAAAUCGGGCAUUUAAAUUUCUGCACGAGUUUUUCAUGCUAAGUUUCCUUAACUGUAAAGAAAAAGAUUUCAAGGGACUUCGAAGAAGGCAAAAGUUUGCAUUUCAGUUUAAACUGAAGACUUAAUUCAAAGUACAAGUGAAACUUAGGUCUGCAGGUAAUGCAUUUGAU
This is a long non-coding RNA of Numida meleagris (helmeted guineafowl), 8095 nucleotides long. RefSeq lists it as uncharacterized. The transcript is spliced from 3 exons. The record is from RefSeq and is a predicted model, not a curated record. Lineage: Eukaryota; Metazoa; Chordata; Aves; Galliformes; Numididae.